GGAUGUGAGGGCGAUCUGGCUGCGACAUCUGUCACCCCAUUGAUCGCCAGGGUUGAUUCGGCUGAUCUGGCUGGCUAGGCGGGUGUCCCCUUCCUCCCUCACCGCUCCAUGUGCGUCCCUCCCGAAGCUGCGCGCUCGGUCGAAGAGGACGACCAUCCCCGAUAGAGGAGGACCGGUCUUCGGUCAAGGGUAUACGAGUAGCUGCGCUCCCCUGCUAGAACCUCCAAACAAGCUCUCAAAUGGCUCCGAGAUAAAACCACUGGCAGAGAGGCUGCAAUGAAGCUGGCAGGUGUGUCGGGGCGGGGGGGAGUGAGGGGGGCUGCUUCAGCAUGUCUACCU
Dipodomys ordii (Ord's kangaroo rat) is the source of this 339-nucleotide non-coding RNA. The record is from Rfam. Lineage: Eukaryota; Metazoa; Chordata; Mammalia; Rodentia; Heteromyidae.